Molecule: ribosomal RNA, 450 nt
Filed under: uncultured bacterium
Lineage: Bacteria
Description: partial 16S ribosomal RNA
Rfam family: Bacterial small subunit ribosomal RNA
Source: RNAcentral
GUGGGGAAUCUUCCGCAAUGGACGAAAGUCUGACGGAGCAACGCCGCGUGAGUGAAGAAGGUUUUCGGAUCGUAAAGCUCUUUCGUUAGGGACGAACGUGCUCUUUGUGAAUAAUGAGGAGUAAUGACGGUACCUAAAUAAGAAGCCACGGCUAACUACGUGCCAGCAGCCGCGGUAAUACGUAGGUGGCAAGCGUUGUCCGGAAUUAUUGGGCGUAAAGCGCGCGCAGGCGGGAUAUCAAGUCUGUCUUAAAAGUGCGAGGCUCAACCUCGUGAGGGGACAGAAACUGGUAUUCUUGAGUGUCGGAGAGGAAAGUGGAAUUCCAAGUGUAGCGGUGAAAUGCGUAGAGAUUUGGAAGAACACCAGUGGCGAAGGCGACUUUCUGGACGAUGUCUGACGCUGAGACGCGAAAGCUAGGGGAGCGAACGGGAUUAGAUACCCCAGUAGUCC